Long non-coding RNA from Mesocricetus auratus (golden hamster), 2250 nucleotides. RefSeq lists it as uncharacterized. Lineage: Eukaryota; Metazoa; Chordata; Mammalia; Rodentia; Cricetidae. The record is from RefSeq and is a predicted model, not a curated record. The transcript is spliced from 2 exons.
UGAGGAGUAGAUGGUAGACCAGUUGGUUGUUUUCCUUCUCUAUCCUGAAGUCCAUUUGUGUCGGACACAGAGUCUGCUGCUUUGAUUAAGUUAUUGCUACUAAUAAAGUGAGAGUCCCCAGCAGGAGUUUGAAUGAACAAGCCACAUGAGGCACAUGUGGAGGAUAUCACUAAACCUGAAGCUUAUCAAUUCAGCCCACCUGGACUGCAUGGCCAACAAACCCCAGGAAUCUUCAUGUCUCUGCUUCUCCAGUGAGGGGAUUACAGGCUUUUCUUGCCAUGUCCAGAUUUUACAUGGAUGCUAAGAAAUCAAACCUGUGGCCUCAUGCUUCCACAGCAAGCACUGUGACCAUUGAGCCAUCUCCUCAGGUCUCAUUUCCUAUUGCCAACAUACAUGGACAAAUUAUUGCUCCUUUCUUUUAAAAUAGACUUGUCCUUGCUUAUAUGAGUCAUAUUCUUAAUAUUGUUACUCCCACUUUACAGAUGAGAAUUCGGAAAAAGAUUUCAGACAACACAAGACUUGUCUGCUCACAAAGCAACAGAGUAGUGUGAUUUGAGCUCUUGUCUAAUCAGAUGCCCCAAGAAUCCCUUACCCUACUCAAAGAAAUAGGUUCUUUUUCUCAUCUGGGCUGACAAUGCUUCCUCAAAAAUCACCCGAUAAAAACCCAACACCAGGCAUGAGGAGAAAUUGUUGACCAGGUUUGUCUAAAAUACUCUCUCCUUACAGACUAUUGCUAUUACCCCUUAGAGGUUAAAGGUAAGUCCCUAUUUCUGGAGACACCAUGCUCUUCAGAACUGACCUGAAUGCCUCCUCUCUGAGGUCUAGCUAUCUUGGUACCAGAAGAAACAUUGCAAGAUUCCAAAGAAGGCAACCAAUCAACAGUCCUACCCAGCAGUGAUACCUAUGAACCAUGAACCAUAACAGUGAUUGACUGUUUCCUAACAUGACUGCCUAAUUAUAAGUUGGACAAAGACAACAAUAGGGAUGCCCAAGUGGACGAGAGAAGGACCAUGAGGCCUCAGACCUACACAAAGAACUAGAGGUAACUAAGGAAUUCUGGGAGUGGGAUAAAUAGUCUGCUCCAGGGAAGAGCAAUUGGUUAGCUGGAACUAAAUUGCCAGCCAUGGAAGCAUACAUAUAAGCAACAUUAUACUGAAUGAGCAGGCUAUAUAUAGGAAUAUGUAUGUAGAAUAUAUAUGUGUGUAUGUGUAUGUAUCUGUGUAUAAACAUAUGCAUGUAGCAACAAUUGCUGGAGGGGGGGAAGACCAUGAAUUUGAAAGAGAGCAGUAAGGGAUAUCUGGGAGGGUUUGGAGGCAGGAAAGAGAAGCAGAAAAUGAUGUAAUUAUAAUCUCAGAAGUAAAAGAAAAAUGAAUACUUUCUUAAAGCUGUGAUAAGCAUGAGAAAUUACCUUCCUCCAGGCAUAAGGUAUUUGUGGUUGACCUUUUGAGCGACACUGUGAGGGCUGCCUGUGGGGUUGUAUAAGACAGCUAUGCACUUUUCCAGGCAACCUUGGGAACAGUUUGAUGGCACCUUGUUAUCUGGGAGUGGAGGAUGAAAGCUCUUUGACCUUUCUGAGAGGCCCAAAACCUAGCACCGUAGUAAAUCUUAUAAGAAUCCAGAAAGGGGGGAUUUGAUGACUGUGGGGAAGGUACAAGCCUGAAUAGGUGUCUUGUACAUUUUAGACUUCUGGCACUUGGGAACCACGCCAAUCAGGGAGGUCUUGGGUCCUGUCAAAGGCACACAUGGACAGUGACAGGUCUUGCACUCCAUGAGAAGUUUGACAUUUUAAAGAUCUCUUGGUACUGAUUUAUUUGUCAGAAAAGCAAGUCUGGGAACUGUUUAUCGUGCAUGUGAGUAUAUGUGUAUGUUUAAUACCAAGAAAGGUAUACAUAGUUGUUUCCCCAAAAAGAAAAGAACCCAAAGGUCAAAGAUGGAACAGAUUUGGCCCAAACAUUCCAAAAAUAAACAAGUGAAGAGUGCCAGAGGGGAAAAUGACCUCGGAUUUGCAGCCAUGUACAAAAUGCUUAAAAAUAGAGAUGCUGUAACAUUUACCCAGCAAGUGCCAACUUUAUAGCCAAAUGCAUGUGUAACUUAAGAUCAAUUAGGAUGUCUGAUUGUGUUUAAGUCAGUUUUUUUAUAUGGUGGAAUGUAGUCAUAUCUUAACAUCAAGAAGUUGGAAAGUUCUGACACUAUUAUUUUCACUAACACAGUCACACUUUCAACAUGUUCACUAAACCGUUUAUGAAAUAA